GAUGAACGCUAGCGACAGGCUUAACACAUGCAAGUCGAGGGGCAGCACAGGUAGCAAUACCGGGUGGCGACCGGCGCACGGGUGAGUAACGCGUAUGCAACUUACCUAUCAGAGGGGGAUAACCCGGCGAAAGUCGGACUAAUACCGCAUGAAGCAGGGGUCCCGCAUGGGGAUAUUUGCUAAAGAUUCAUCGCUGAUAGAUAGGCAUGCGUUCCAUUAGGCAGUUGGCGGGGUAACGGCCCACCAAACCGACGAUGGAUAGGGGUUCUGAGAGGAAGGUCCCCCACAUUGGUACUGAGACACGGACCAAACUCCUACGGGAGGCAGCAGUGAGGAAUAUUGGUCAAUGGCCGGGAGGCUGAACCAGCCAAGUCGCGUGAGGGAUGAAGGUUCUAUGGAUCGUAAACCUCUUUUAUAAGGGAAUAAAGUGCGGGACGUGUCCCGUUUUGUAUGUACCUUAUGAAUAAGGAUCGGCUAACUCCGUG
Molecule: ribosomal RNA, 485 nt
Filed under: uncultured bacterium
Lineage: Bacteria
Description: partial 16S ribosomal RNA
Rfam family: Bacterial small subunit ribosomal RNA
Source: RNAcentral